This 163-nucleotide small nuclear RNA is filed under the name Neotoma lepida (desert woodrat). RNAcentral describes it as "U1 spliceosomal RNA". It matches the Rfam family "U1 spliceosomal RNA". From Rfam's summary of the family: U1 is a small nuclear RNA (snRNA) component of the spliceosome (involved in pre-mRNA splicing). Its 5' end forms complementary base pairs with the 5' splice junction, thus defining the 5' donor site of an intron. Lineage: Eukaryota; Metazoa; Chordata; Mammalia; Rodentia; Cricetidae. The record is from Rfam by way of RNAcentral.
GUACUAACCUGGCAGGGGAGAUACCUUGGCCAUGAAGGUAGUUUUCCAGGAAAGGCCUUAUCCAUUGCACUCAAGACGCGCUGACCCCUGUGAUUUCCCUGCAUGGGGGAAACGCNACUGCAUGCUUUAUGGUAGUGGGGGAUUGCAUUCGCACUAUUCUCCA